This 253-nucleotide ribosomal RNA is filed under the name uncultured bacterium. RNAcentral's name for it is "partial 16S ribosomal RNA". It matches the Rfam family "Bacterial small subunit ribosomal RNA", at positions 524 to 776 of the family's 1533-position model. The record is from RNAcentral.
UACGUAGGAUCCAAGCGUUGUCCGGAUUUACUGGGUGUAAAGGGUGCGCAGGCGGACUUGUUAGUCAGAGGUGAAAUCUCACUGCUCAACAGUGAAACUGCCUUUGAUACUGCAGGUCUUGAAUCCAGAAGAGAGUUGUGAAAUUCCGAGUGUAGCAGUGAAAUGUGUAGAUAUUCGGAAGAACACCAGCGGCGAAGGCAGCAACUUGGUCUGGUAUUGACGCUCAGGCACGAAAGCAUGGGGAUCAAACAGG